This 73-nucleotide microRNA precursor is filed under the name Gyrodactylus salaris (gyrodactylosis fluke). RNAcentral describes it as "microRNA gsa-mir-96a precursor". Its record names the gene gsa-mir-96a. Lineage: Eukaryota; Metazoa; Platyhelminthes; Monogenea; Gyrodactylidea; Gyrodactylidae. The record is from miRBase by way of RNAcentral.
CUUGGCACUCUAGGAAUCGUCUCUAACAGAAUAAUUAACCCAUUUAUUUGAGACGGACCGAGUGUGCUAAACA